UCUGGGACAAGCCCUGGAAACGGGGUCUAAUACCGGAUAACACCGGCUUCCGCAUGGGAGCUGGUUAAAAGCUCCGGCGGUGAAGGAUGAGCCCGCGGCCUAUCAGCUUGUUGGUGGGGUAAUGGCCUACCAAGGCGACGACGGGUAGCCGGCCUGAGAGGGCGACCGGCCACACUGGGACUGAGACACGGCCCAGACUCCUACGGGAGGCAGCAGUGGGGAAUAUUGCACAAUGGGCGAAAGCCUGAUGCAGCGACGCCGCGUGAGGGAUGACGGCCUUCGGGUUGUAAACCUCUUUCAGCAGGGAAGAAGCGAAAGUGACGGUACCUGCAGAAGAAGCGCCGGCUAACUACGUGCCAGCAGCCGCGGUAAUACGUAGGGCGCAAGCGUUGUCCGGAAUUAUUGGGCGUAAAGAGCUCGUAGGCGGCUUGUCACGUCGGGUGUGAAAGCCCGGGGCUUAACCCCGGGUCUGCAUCCGAUACGGGCAGGCUAGAGUGUGGUAGGGGAUAUCUGAAUUUCUGGUGUAGCGGUCAAAUGCC
This 539-nucleotide ribosomal RNA is filed under the name Streptomyces sp. Its description in RNAcentral is "bacterial SSU rRNA". It matches the Rfam family "Bacterial small subunit ribosomal RNA", at positions 137 to 690 of the family's 1533-position model. Lineage: Bacteria; Bacillati; Actinomycetota; Actinomycetes; Kitasatosporales; Streptomycetaceae. The record is from RNAcentral.